UGGGGAAUCUUGCACAAUGGGGGCAACCCUGAUGCAGCGACGCCGCGUGAGCGAUGAAGGUUUUCGAAUCGUAAAGCUCUGUCCUAUGGGAAGAUAAUGACGGUACCAUAGGAGGAAGCCCCGGCUAACUACGUGCCAGCAGCCGCGGUAAUACGUAGGUGGCAAGCGUUGUCCGGAUUUAUUGGGCGUAAAGCGAGCGCAGGCGGUCAAUUAAGUCUGAUGUGAAAGCCCCCGGCUCAACCGGGGAGGGUCAUUGGAAACUGGUUGACUUGAGUGCAGAAGAGGAGAGUGGAAUUCCAUGUGUAGCGGUGAAAUGCGUAGAUAUAUGGAGGAACACCAGUGGCGAAGGCGACUCUCUGGUCUGUAACUGACGCUGAGGUUCGAAAGCGUGGGUAGCAAACAGG
RNAcentral lists this ribosomal RNA (404 nucleotides) under Bacteroidota bacterium. RNAcentral describes it as "Bacteroidetes bacterium partial 16S ribosomal RNA". It matches the Rfam family "Bacterial small subunit ribosomal RNA", at positions 355 to 776 of the family's 1533-position model. Lineage: Bacteria; Pseudomonadati; Bacteroidota. The record is from RNAcentral.